This 1621-nucleotide long non-coding RNA is filed under the name Homo sapiens (human). RNAcentral describes it as "HSALNT0344316". The record is from RNAcentral. Lineage: Eukaryota; Metazoa; Chordata; Mammalia; Primates; Hominidae.
GGCUUCGCUCCUGGGGAGCCAGAAGCAUGGAAUCAGGUCCGCGUGGUGGAGGGUUUGGGGCAGGGGCGGGUAAAUAUGAGGAAAGGGCCAGACAGUGAAUAUUUUAGGGUUUGUGGCUGUGCAACUCUGCUGUUGUAGUGCAGAAGCAGCCGUGGGUGAUACCUGGGCAAAUGGGCCUGGCUGUGUUCCCAUGAAAAUGCAUUUACUAUAACAGAUGCCAAGAGGAUUAGGCCACCAACUUUGGCGUGUGCUCUUCGGGCCUGCCGUCUAACAGAAUGAGGGUUCCAGCGGUGUUCGCAUCAUCAGACGUCUAGUGUUCUGCACAUAAAACAAGCUCUUGAGGUCAGGAGACAACAUGCAAUCUAGCAGGCAGGUAGCUCGUGAAGCGUCUCAUCUCCCAGCAUAACAAGUGCUUCUCCAUCCAUAUGUACAGAAUUCCACUCUCCAGGUGGGAACGUUGUGAUGGAAUACGCUCUGAGAGAUAGAGGAGGCGACUUCUGCCAGGAGUGAUCAGGAGGACUUCUUGGAGGAGGCAGCACUUGAGCUGGUCUUGAAAGAUGAUGAGAUUUUAAUGGGAAAAGAGAUGAUCGAGAAGAACCUUCUAGCAGGAGGGAGCUGCCCUAGCAAAGACAGGAAGGCUGGAAAAUGCGAGAAGUGGGACAGGAAGAUCAACACAGGACCUCUCCCUUCUGAGCCAAACUGACACCUACCUCUUGCCAUGACAGGCCGCUCUUCUGGAGAUUAUAAACUAUUUAUUUUUAACAGAGAAACUGCCUUAGUUGGAGUUCUGGCUCUGCCACUUACUUAGGUAAGAAAGAACUUCUUGGGCCUCAGGCCCUCACCUGUAAAAGGGGCUGAAUAAUAGGAUUGUGCCUCUCUCCAAUGGGCUGUUAGAGGUUGGACUGCAUGCCCCCAAUACUCUUAUGCUGAGGCCUAACCCGGUGUGACUGCACAUGGAGACAGGGUGUGUAGGGAGGGGAUGAAGCUUAAGUGAGGCCACAGGGGAGGCCCAACCCUGUAGAGUCGUGUCUUUAUAAGGAGUGAAAGAGACACCAUUGCUUGCUUCUCUCCUGUGGGCAGAGGAAAGGCCAGGUGAGGACACAGGCAGGAGGUGCCCCCGCAGCCUCAGGCAGAGCCCUCACCACGCCAGCCCUGCUGACGCCUUGAUCUUGGACUCCCAGGCGUCUGCUGCAUAAGCCACCCCGUCCGACGUACUUUCCCAUGGCAGCUUGAGCAGAAUGAGACUGGGGCUUUGGAAGAAGGAACUUCACAUGUGAGGAGCUUGGAGAGUGGGACGUGCCAUGUGUGCACAUGUGCUGCUGGUGGUUGGUGUUAUUGUUAUUAUCAGGAGUGGCGUAUUCCCAGCCUCUGGAAGCUCACCUCGUGGUUUUCUUUCUUCUUCCACUUUUCGUUUUUUAGAUCAUGUCUGCCCUUAGCCUGACAUCCCCGCCAUGUAGGGCUCCAGGACUGCUGUGGCCUCAGCCCUUCCGGGCUCCAGGAGGCCCUGAUUCAUUGCUCUCCCCUCCCCCCUUGGCUGGCCUAGGUGCCUUGUCCUCUUUCUUGGGACGGUGCUCACUGACGGGCCCCAUGGGAGGAGGGAGACACGGCCAGCUGCCAUGCG